This is a long non-coding RNA of Daphnia pulicaria, 590 nucleotides long. RefSeq lists it as uncharacterized. The record is from RefSeq and is a predicted model, not a curated record. The transcript has 3 exons. NCBI's taxonomy places the organism in Eukaryota, Metazoa, Arthropoda, Branchiopoda, Diplostraca, Daphniidae.
UAAUCACUCGUCAUAUGACAAGCCACAUGAUAAAAACAGGAUAUGAGCUUGUUUUCGGCGCUUAUUUGAAACUCUAGCAGAAAACCGCUUUAUAGUUUUUGCGGUUUUGAUAAAGGGAAGGGGUCGAUUUUUGUUCAAUUUCUAUUUCUAAGACAGUUGGAAAAGUGUCGUCUGCUCUUGUAUUCUUGAAAAAUGACGGACAGUUUGUGUUUGACAGUGACAAAAGACGAAGUUUAAGAUAAGAAGCAAAAUGGAAUCAUGUUAUUCGAAAUUCACCUGAAGGACGACAGAUCUUUGGCAGAAACGGAAGGAACCAAUUGACGGGCAGCUGUUUCGAAAUCUACAGUACCUAACAUUCGAUCUCCUUCGGAUAUCGUAUGACCUGAAAUAAGGGCAGAAUAGAUUUGGAGUUGAGUUGGAUAUUUCUUUCCACGCUUUUAAGCAUGGCGUUGGAACAAAGGGAAUAUAAAUCGGCACCGGUUAAAUAUUUCGGAAGCUGCUGAACGAAAUCUUCAAGAUUUACUAAUGGAUGUAACUGAAUCCUUUGUUUCGAUGAAGUGUUUCAAUUAUUAAAAUAUUUAAAAUUUUAA